Taeniopygia guttata (zebra finch) is the source of this 354-nucleotide long non-coding RNA. RefSeq lists it as uncharacterized. NCBI's taxonomy places the organism in Eukaryota, Metazoa, Chordata, Aves, Passeriformes, Estrildidae. The record is from RefSeq and is a predicted model, not a curated record.
AGAUGGUGUCUGUUCUAAACCUGCAAAAUGUACAUAUGAACCUGAAGUUUGAGUUGAUCCUACUCCUCAUCCAUAGAAAAUCUUUAUAAGUGAAACGAAUUUGCCUACUUUGCUUUUUUACCACAAAACCAGCAAAUGAUAAUGGAAAUGGACACCUGCCAUCAGAAAUAAAAAACAGAAAUAAGGACAUUCAGUUCCCAAAAAUACUUUUGUUUAAUGUAACCAGAAAUUUUCUUGGACAUGUGUUGAACAAAAGCAAACUUCUGUAAUGCAUGUUGUGAAAUGACCGUGUAUUUAUUGAUAUGGUAGUAAUAAUAGAUAUAAGAUUAAAAUUAGUAAAUGUUUACCACUAAA